UGUAGAGUCUCAAACAACUCUUGAUGACAGAGCCAUCUUGUUCUUGAUGAACUUGCAAUAUCCAAAACGAAUUACACCAUAAAGCAAAAUUAUUCCGUUUGCAGUAUCAAAUGUUUAUUUGGAGUACUGUUUGCUUAAGUCUAAAACUGUUUUAUGCAGCACGCACCACACAAAGUUAGAAUGGAAGUAUAUAAAUGAAGAACCAAAUUAUAAUGCAAAGAUUGGCUUUGCAAAGUUUAUAGCAACAGCAAUAUUUCAUCCGUUUGAGAUGAAGUGAUUUUUGAAGUUUAAAAUCUAGUGAGUAUGGGUUCAACUAGAAACCAAAUUAGUUGAGAAGAACUCUAGUGUCUCACAAUUGAUUCCAAAGGGGCCAAAUACAAAUCAAAGUAUAAAGGAAAAUUCACACUAGAGAGCUUCAACAUAGUUUGGAUUAUUGUGUAGCCAGUUAAAUUUAUACAUAUAACAUGGUAGAUUGGUAUUUACCCAUAUGUAAAUGGAGGACUCUUGGAUCAAAAAUCAACAAGCAUUAUCUACUCAGAUGUUAAUUCCUACUAACUCACAACUAAUUUGGGUUAAUCAACUCCUAAACGAAAACAAGCAACGGAACCAACAGCUCAUUGCAGAACAAUUCAGUACAGAUAUUGCACAGAAUAUUUUACAAACUGAAAUUGGGGAAGGGGAUGAUUCAGUUACCUGGCCAAGGGAGAAAAAGGGUUGCUACACCGUGGCUUCAGGAUAUUUACUGGCACACUAGUUCUACCACCCUCCACUCGAGCUGAUGCCACUCCACUGCCAGCAGAAGAAGCUCUGGACUUCUAUUUGGGACCUGAAAGUGCAACCGAAAAUAAGAAUCUUCCUCUGGAAAGUAAUGCAUUGCCAGUGAACCAACAACUCCAUGGAAGAAUCAGAACAAUACCCCCAACCUGUCGAAGAUGUACCGCGAUGGAAGAAACAGUCCAACACUGCAUAAUUAGCUGUGGUCAGUCAUGGUCCACUUGGCUCAGAUCCAAAAUUGGAGUCCCUGGAAGUCAAACGGACCAAGAAGUAUGGCAACGGUGGAUGGAGUUAACUGAGAAGUUGAAAAGAAGCAGAAAUGGCGUGAAGAAAUUGAGAGAAGCUGCAAACCUGAUGUGGGAGAUAUAGAAGGCUCGCAACAGAUUCAUGUUUGACGGUGAAGAGUUCGAUGAGGCUUGUGUCCUUGAACGAGCCAGAAGGAGUGAAUCAGAGUUCCAAGCGUGCUUGCUCGACUGAGGAAUGCGAAGAAGAUUAGAAAUGUCUGAAGAAGAAGUUUUCACUUUACUCUUUCCUUCCCUUUCAAUGUUGUUUCCUGAUUUAGAUAAGUUUCGUUGGGAAAUCUCUCUUUUAGUCUUGUAAGUGGUCCAUCGUGGACCCAAAUCC
Molecule: long non-coding RNA, 1398 nt
Filed under: Arachis ipaensis
Lineage: Eukaryota; Viridiplantae; Streptophyta; Magnoliopsida; Fabales; Fabaceae
Description: long non-coding RNA (AIPA_LNC001303)
Source: RNAcentral